AAGAGGAAAACUCUAGUUAUUACCUCCCACCACAUGGUGGCGCUUUGUAUUGGAUUACCGCCAGUGAGCACUCACGCAGAUAGACCAAGCCACACUCACGCUGAUAGACCGAGCCGAGAGCAACACUCCAGUUUAGCUAAUUAAACUAAGAGAAAAUCUUAUGAGCCUUGAGAGGAAGAGAGGAGCUGCUUCAACCACAUAUAAGCCCUCUGAACUCCGAUUGGUUUUAUAUUUAUGCUGGAUCAGGAAACGAUCUGCAAGAAUUCUGAGCCUUCCAUGGUUCAGUGGCGAGCCAAGCGACAGGAAAGGAGAACGGGAUCAACCUCACAAGAACUACAAACAUCUUCCUACUUCUCUGAUUCAGAUAAGCGCGCUCAAUAUGAACUAAAACCUACCCGGGUAGUAAAAGAGUAAAUGAACAGACAACACAUACACCAUACAGAACAAAGCUUUUCUUCUGGCAUUGAAGAAAAGGACACUUUCAUUUGAACUUUUCUAUUAUAUUUUUGUUUAUGAAAGAGCUCUAUUUUGUUGGUAUUGUUUUAAUUCUUUGUAUUAAAAGAAAUAAUAUUUGCUGAAUGCAAUAAAUGAUCAUUGUUCAACUUCCACUCAGAGUCCAACUUUCUGAACCUAGAGAAUGUGGUUUCUUCUUAACUUUAGGGUUAAGUGCUACAAUAAUAUUUUUGGAAAACAAUUCAGUUUCUUCUAACAAUGCCUGAAGAUGCAUGGAUAGUAGAAAAAGUGUUCCAUGUACUGUUAUGUUAUCAAAUCAUUAAACAUAAGACAGUACAUAAAUGGCACAGCUGUCUCAUUAGAUCAAAGAAAUGUCAUAUCAAACUCAUAAGCAUAGUUAUCUGCCCGGGACCAUAAUCAGC
Long non-coding RNA from Fundulus heteroclitus (mummichog), 875 nucleotides. RefSeq lists it as uncharacterized. Lineage: Eukaryota; Metazoa; Chordata; Actinopteri; Cyprinodontiformes; Fundulidae. The record is from RefSeq and is a predicted model, not a curated record. The transcript has 3 exons.